UCUCUCUCUCUCUCUCUCUCGUGUCAUUUCUGUCCCGUUGUUUCUGGUCACGGUCCACUCCAUCUCUUCUCCCUCCCUUACUGUUCUCUCUCAAUGCAUAAAAGAAAGAACCACCUUCCAUUGCCACCCUGAUCCUUUCUUUAACGAAACUACCUCUCCGCAAAAUAGAAAAUGCGGCCUUUGUGGCCGUUCUUGAUCUUGGCAGUUCUGCUUUCUCUGUCGGUGGUUUACUGUGCUACUCUUCUUCCUCUUCACAGGGCUUUUCCUUUGAACCACCCACUCGAACUCGACCAACUCAGGGCUCGGGAUAGAGUCAGGCAUGCCCGCCUCUUGCAGGGCCUGGUUGGCGGAGUCGUCGACUUCUCAGUUCAAGGAACUUCCGAUCCUUAUCUCGUCGGACUCUAUUUUACAAAAGUGAAACUGGGCUCUCCUCCAAGAGAAUUCAAUGUGCAGAUUGAUACAGGAAGCGAUGUCUUGUGGGUUACAUGCAGUUCCUGCAGCAAUUGCCCACAAUCCAGUGGCCUUGGAAUUCAGCUCAACUACUUCGAUACUUCCAGCUCGUCAACUGCUGGGCUAAUUCCAUGUUCACACCCUAUUUGUACUUCAGAAAUUCAAACCACAGCAACUCAAUGCUUCUCUCAGAGUAAUCAGUGUAGUUACUCAUUCCAAUAUGGAGAUGGGAGUGGGACAACGGGUUAUUAUGUAUCUGAUACAUUUUAUUUUGAUACUGUAUUUGGAGAGUCCUUGAUUACUAACUCUUCAGCAAUCAUUGCCUUUGGGUAAGCUCUUCUAACUCAUACAAGAAUGGAAGAUGCGAAGUUGAAUGGAUUUUACAAGAAUUACUAGGGUAAAGAAGAGAUAGGUCGAAGAGUUAAAUAUGAAGCCAAUUAUAUGCAUAUUUCACUAUGUUCUUUCAAUGGAGUAUAUCAUAUUGGCCUGGAAUUACCUUGAUCACUGGUUGCAGCAAUGGGCUUUUUAAUAUAAUCACUUUAUAACGGUACUAAAUAUCAAUACCGUUACCAAUUUUAGCACUAAGACGGCCUUUUUUACCAUAACCACUUCAAUGCUUUAAUGGUGAUAUGCCUUUGUCCUUAAAUGACUGUAACUAGUGUCAUCCUGCAACGUCAUUGUUGUUGGGCUAUUUGACAAUAUAAGAAAGGAUGCAUCUGCUUUCUGCUAGUGCCCCUUGUGAGAAAGUGAAUUACAUGCUUCUUAUGCUUUUCACGCAACUUUUCUCUUAUAUUUGUCUUCAUUUUUGUUUUGUUACUUGAAGCUUAUUGCUCUAUGUGUGGUGUUGGAAACAGAUGUAGCACCUACCAGUCUGGGGACUUGACUAAGACAGAUAAAGCAGUUGAUGGAAUAUUUGGAUUUGGCCAAGGGGGUCUCUCCGUCAUAUCACAACUGUCAUCCCAUGGGAUAACACCCAGAGUAUUCUCUCAUUGCUUGAAAGGAGAGGGCAGUGGUGGUGGCAUAUUAGUUCUUGGUGAGAUUUUGGAGCCAGGAAUAGUUUAUAGUCCCCUUGUGCCAUCACAGCCUCAUUAUAAUUUAAAUCUUCAGAGUAUUGCUGUCAAUGGACAAUUGUUAUCAAUUGAUCCAGCUGCUUUUGCAACGUCAAAUGACCGAGGAACUAUUGUUGACUCUGGAACAACUUUGGCAUACCUUGUGGAAGAGGCUUAUAAUCCUUUUGUUAGUGCUGUGACUGCUACGGUCCAACCAUCUGUGACUCCCACAAUAUAUAAAGGAAACCAAUGUUAUUUAGUUUCCAACAGUGUAUCUGAGGUAUUUCCUCCAGUCAGUUUAAACUUUGCUGGUGGUGCAUCUAUGCUGUUAAAACCACAAGAGUACCUUAUAAAUCUUGGUCCCUCUCAGAAUGGAGCUCCGUUAUGGUGCAUUGGUUUUCAGAAGGCUCAAGCAGGUUUAUCAAUUUUAGGAGGUUAGAGACUAGAUCUGACCUUCUUUCUAUUAGAGAAGUGUACUGAAACAUGUUAUCAGUCAUUACACCAGCAUUGCGUAAUAUGUGCCAUUUCUCUCCCUUUUUCUUCCUCCUGUCUCCUGGGUUGUUAGCCAUUCCAUGGAGUGCUUUUAUUUAUUUAUUUAUUGUAAUUCAAUUUUUCCAUAGGAUUACAAGGGCUGACCAUUUCCAACACAUGAGAUAAUUUAUGAGUUGGGUUUGCUACAAACUUCUGAUCUUUUCUAUAAUUGAAUUAUAUCUGUUCCCUGCAAAGUUACAGGAGGAGGCUCAUCGACUUGCAGUUUUUGUCUGAAAGCAAAAUGAAUAUAGACUUCAAAAUAACUUUACUCAAACGAUCUCUUGAGUUUAAUGACCUUCGUCUGUUUCUUUGGCUUGCAGAUCUUGUUCUAAAGGAUAAAAUUUUCGUAUAUGAUCUGGCUCAUCAGCGGAUUGGAUGGGCUAACUAUGACUGCUCAUUAUCAGUAACUGUCUCUGUAACUUCUAGUAAGGAUUUCAUCAAUGCAGGACAGUGGAGUGUGAGCAGCUCGUCAAGAGACAUGCUCCUCAAGCUGCUACCUCUGAGCAUUAUGGCUCUCCUAAUGCACAUAUUAGCAUUGAUGAGUCUUCAAAUUUUGUAAUUUAAACCUCAGGUUUGAAGUUCAAUUCUUUGACCUUGUUGGAAUUGGCUUAGUCGGUUUUUAUUUAUGGUGGUUGGCAAGGCAUGUCCUUUCUGUGGAUCACAGUGGUAGCUGUUAUAUAGUUAUUAUUUCUUAUUGCUGGUAGUUGGAGCAUCUUCCAUUCUUCAAAUGGAAAAUCCAGCAAUUUUUUUUAAAGGAUGCUCCGUCUCUGAGUGCUGCCGGAAUUGUAAAUUAUCAAUGCAUGGUCGGGUGCUGUAUCAUCAGUUCAUCACAUUGUUGUUAAGUAGAACAAAACAUUCAUGUGUCCUGGAAGAAAACAAAUCUUCUGCUGCGACAACUUUUGGGAUAGGCAGGGAUAUAGAAAUGAUGGCGUCCAAGUCCAAGCUAGUCAAUAUUUUCUUCUCUGUUACUUGUUUGGACAACUUUACAAGUGUUAAUUUCUGUAAGCUUUUUGUUUUCACUCAGGAUUGUAAUUCCAUGCUUCUCCUCUGAUUAUGAAAGCCUUUGAUACAUGAAAGGAAAGGAUAGCCACUACACUGCUUUUUAGCUUUUAGAUGAGUAAACAUCCAAUAGUUUGCUGUCAUUAGUGAAUGAUUGGAUGUUGCAUAUUGUAUAGAUCAAAUCUAAG
RNAcentral lists this unclassified non-coding RNA (3217 nucleotides) under Hevea brasiliensis (rubber tree). The record is from RNAcentral. Lineage: Eukaryota; Viridiplantae; Streptophyta; Magnoliopsida; Malpighiales; Euphorbiaceae.